Molecule: ribosomal RNA, 1432 nt
Filed under: metagenome
Description: bacterial SSU rRNA
Rfam family: Bacterial small subunit ribosomal RNA
Source: RNAcentral
AGAGUUUGAUCCUGGCUCAGAUUGAACGCUGGCGGCAUGGCUAAAACAUGCAAGUUGAACGAUUGAAAGUGGCGAAAGGGCGAGUAAUGCGAUCGAAUGUGCCCCGAGGUGGGGGAUAGCGUCGGGAAACUGACGGUAAUACCCCAUGUCCUCUACGGAGAAAAGGUUUACCGCCUUGGGAGCAGCGAUCGUCCUAUCAGCUUGUUGGUGAGGUAACGGCUCACCAAGGCGAAGACGGGUAGCGGGUGUGAGAGCAUGACCCGCCGCAUCGGGACUGAGACACUGCCCGGACUCCUACGGGAGGCUGCAGUAACGAAUCUUCCGCAAUGGGCGAAAGCCUGACGGAGCAAUGCCGCGUGUGGGAUGAAGCGUCUUCGACGUGUAAACCACUGUCAGGGAAUAAAACACUGAUCAUUCCCAGAGGAAGGGCCGGCUAAUUCCGUGCCAGCAGCCGCGGUAAUACGGAAGGCCCGAGCGUUAAUCGGAAUCACUGGGCUUAAAGCGUGCGCAGGCGGACCCGCAGGCAUCUUGUGAAAUCCCACAGCUCAACUGUGGAACUGCAGGGUGAACCGCGGGUCUUGAGACAAGUAGGGGCUGAUGGAACCAUGGGUGGAGCGGUGAAAUGCGUAGAUAUCCAUGGGAACGCCAAUGGCGAAGGCAGUCAGCUGGGCUUGUUCUGACGCUCAGGCACGAAAGCGUGGGGAGCGAACGGGAUUAGAUACCCCGGUAGUCCACGCCGUAAACGAUGCGCACUAGGUCGGGGCGGGUUUCACCCCCUCUCGGCCGAAGGUAAACUGAUUAGUGCGCCGCCUGGGGAGUACGGUCGCAAGGCUAAAACUCAAAGGAAUUGACGGGGGCUCACACAAGCGGUGGAGCAUGUUGCUUAAUUCGAGGCAACGCGAAGAACCUUACCAGGGUUUGACAUGCAUGGAUUAACCUUUCGAAAGAUAGGCCACGCCCUUUGGGUGGAACAUGCACAGGUGCUGCAUGGCUGUUGUCAGCUCGUGCUGUGAAGUGUCGGGUUAAGUCCCUUAACGAGCGCAACCCCUGUCGUCAGUUGCUAACGCGUCAUGGCGAGUACUCUGGCGAGACUGCCGGUGUCAAACCGGAGGAAGGUGGGGAUGACGUCAAGUCCUCAUGGCCUUUAUGCCCUGGGAUGCAAACGUGCUACAAUGGUACGGACAAAGCGAAGCAAGACCGCGAGGUGGAGCAAAUCGCAAAAACCGUGCCCCAGUUCGGAUAGCAGGCUGCAAUUCGCCUGCUUGAAGCCGGAAUCGCUAGUAAUCGCGUAUCAGCUACGACGCGGUGAAUACGUUCCUGAGCCUUGUACACACCGCCCGUCACGUCAUGGAAGCUGGCAGCGCCCGAAGUCACAUCGGUUCAGGUGUGCCUACGGCGAGGCUGGUGACUGGGACGAAGUCGUAACAAGGUA